This is a small nucleolar RNA of Cyprinodon variegatus (sheepshead minnow), 137 nucleotides long. The record is from Ensembl. NCBI's taxonomy places the organism in Eukaryota, Metazoa, Chordata, Actinopteri, Cyprinodontiformes, Cyprinodontidae.
GUGCACAGUGAACACCCAUGGGUGCUAACGUAGCUCCCCCUGGUCUCCUGUAUCUGUGCCACAGUAACUCUGAUCUGUACCUCUGCAUCAGGAGAGCCUGCUCCUCUCCUGCAUGUAUUCAGCGGAUCAGAACAGUC